Molecule: ribosomal RNA, 253 nt
Filed under: uncultured bacterium
Lineage: Bacteria
Description: partial 16S ribosomal RNA
Rfam family: Bacterial small subunit ribosomal RNA
Source: RNAcentral
UACGAAGGGGGCUAGCGUUGCUCGGAAUCACUGGGCGUAAAGCGCACGUAGGCGGCUUCUUAAGUCAGGGGUGAAAUCCUGGAGCUCAACUCCAGAACUGCCUUUGAUACUGCGGAGCUUGAGUCCGGGAGAGGUGAGUGGAACUGCGAGUGUAGAGGUGAAAUUCGUAGAUAUUCGCAAGAACACCAGUGGCGAAGGCGGCCAACUGGUCCGAUACUGACGCUGAGGCGCGAAAGCGUGGGGAGCAAACAGG